RNAcentral lists this ribosomal RNA (495 nucleotides) under uncultured Desulfobulbus sp. Its description in RNAcentral is "bacterial SSU rRNA". It matches the Rfam family "Bacterial small subunit ribosomal RNA", at positions 911 to 1382 of the family's 1533-position model. The record is from RNAcentral. Lineage: Bacteria; Pseudomonadati; Thermodesulfobacteriota; Desulfobulbia; Desulfobulbales; Desulfobulbaceae.
CUCAAGAACUACGAAAGUAUGACGGGGCCCGCACAAGCGGUGGAGCACGUGGUUUAAUUCGAUGCAACGCGAAGAACCUUACCUGGUCUUGACAUCCCGGAGACCCUUAGGAAACUAGGGGGUGCUUCCAUCUGGAAGAAUCUGGAGACAGGUGCUGCAUGGCUGUCGUCAGCUCGUGUCGUGAGAUGUUGGGUUAAGUCCCGCAACGAGCGCAACCCUUGCCUUUAGUUGCCAGCAGUUCGGCUGGGCACUCUAAAGGGACUGCCGGUGUUAAACCGGAGGAAGGUGGGGAUGACGUCAAGUCCUCAUGGCCUUUACGGCCUGGGCUACACACGUGCUACAAUGGUCGGUACAAAGGGUUGCCAAGCCGCGAGGUGGAGCUAAUCCCAUAAAACCGAUCGUAGUCCGGAUCGCAGUCUGCAACUCGACUGCGUGAAGUCGGAAUCGCUAGUAAUCGUGAAUCAGAAUGUCACGGUGAAUACGUUCCCGGGCCUU